Molecule: ribosomal RNA, 253 nt
Filed under: uncultured bacterium
Lineage: Bacteria
Description: partial 16S ribosomal RNA
Rfam family: Bacterial small subunit ribosomal RNA
Source: RNAcentral
UACGUAGGGUGCAAGCGUUGUCCGGAAUUAUUGGGCGUAAAGAGCUCGUAGGCGGUUUGUUGCGUCGGCUGUGAAAUCCCGAGGCUCAACCUCGGGUCUGCAGUCGAUACGAGCAAACUAGAGUGUUGCAGGGGAGACUGGAAUUCCUGGUGUAGCGGUGAAAUGCGCAGAUAUCAGGAGGAACACCGGUGGCGAAGGCGGGUCUCUGGGCAUGAUCUGACGCUGAGGAGCGAAAGUGUGGGGAGCGAACAGG